This 120-nucleotide small nucleolar RNA is filed under the name Echinops telfairi (small Madagascar hedgehog). Its description in RNAcentral is "Small nucleolar RNA SNORA61 (ENSETEG00000025242.1)". Lineage: Eukaryota; Metazoa; Chordata; Mammalia; Afrosoricida; Tenrecidae. The record is from RNAcentral.
ACCCACCGGAUUCCUUCCCCAUCAGGAUCAAGCACCCGUCGCGUGGCUAUCGAAAGAGGAAGAGUAAAAUCGAAACUGACUUCAAUUCUUUUGUGACACGUGAGCUAGUUUCGAGCAAAC